RNAcentral lists this ribosomal RNA (1001 nucleotides) under uncultured bacterium. RNAcentral's name for it is "bacterial SSU rRNA". It matches the Rfam family "Bacterial small subunit ribosomal RNA", at positions 356 to 1376 of the family's 1533-position model. The record is from RNAcentral.
GGGGAAUAUUGCACAAUGGGGGGAACCCUGAUGCAGCGACGCCGCGUGAGUGAAGAAGUAUUUCGGUAUGUAAAGCUCUAUCAGCAGGGAAGAAAAUGACGGUACCUGACUAAGAAGCCCCGGCUAACUACGUGCCAGCAGCCGCGGUAAUACGUAGGGGGCAAGCGUUAUCCGGAAUUACUGGGUGUAAAGGGUGCGUAGGUGGUAUGGCAAGUCAGAAGUGAAAACCCAGGGCUUAACUCUGGGACUGCUUUUGAAACUGUCAGACUGGAGUGCAGGAGAGGUAAGCGGAAUUCCUAGUGUAGCGGUGAAAUGCGUAGAUAUUAGGAGGAACAUCAGUGGCGAAGGCGGCUUACUGGACUGAAACUGACACUGAGGCACGAAAGCGUGGGGAGCAAACAGGAUUAGAUACCCUGGUAGUCCACGCCGUAAACGAUGAUUGCUAGGUGUAGGUGGGUAUGGACCCAUCGGUGCCGCAGCUAACGCAAUAAGCAAUCCACCUGGGGAGUACGUUCGCAAGAAUGAAACUCAAAGGAAUUGACGGGGGCCCGCACAAGCAGUGGAGUAUGUGGUUUAAUUCGACGCAACGCGAAGAACCUUACCAAGUCUUGACAUCCCUUGACGAUGCUGGAAACAGCAUUUCUCUUCGGAGCAAGGAGACAGGUGGUGCAUGGUUGUCGUCAGCUCGUGUCGUGAGAUGUUGGGUUAAGUCCCGCAACGAGCGCAACCCUUACCUUCAGUAGCCAGCGGUUCGGCCGGGCACUCUGGAGGGACUGCCAGGGAUAACCUGGAGGAAGGUGGGGAUGACGUCAAAUCAUCAUGCCCCUUAUGAUUUGGGCUACACACGUGCUACAAUGGCGUAAACAAAGGGAAGCGAGAGCGUGAGCUUAAGCAAAUCUCAAAAAUAACGUCUCAGUUCGGAUUGUAGUCUGCAACUCGACUACAUGAAGCUGGAAUCGCUAGUAAUCGCGAAUCAGCAUGUCGCGGUGAAUACGUUCCCG